UGAUGCCCAGAAGGUUGGGGACCUCUGCUCUAGCUUAGCAGGUAGUAAAAAAAGACGGCAGGAGAUUUGUACUUUCAGACUUGUAAGAUUCUGUUAAUGUAGCCGUAGAAUAAAUUAGAAUCAGCUCAUUUGACUGUGUUCCCUGCCUGAUCUAUAUGGGAAGCUGUCCACAGACGUACCUGGGGAAUCUCUCCACCUAUAUACACUUCUACCUCUGCAAGGGGUUUCUAAUUGCUGUUCACCUUGCCAAAUGUAAGCACAUAUGCAUGAUCCACACUCUGUCUGUGAACGCUCUUGUUCCAUAAAUUCCUAUGGAUCGUUUGGACUAUCCCGAGGUAGGCAACCUUGGCUCUUUUACGAUUCGUGAACUUCAACUCCAUGGCUGGCUCAGGAAUUCUGGGAGUUGAAGUCCACGAGUCAUAAAAGAGCCAAGGUUGCCUACCCCUGGACUAUCCCAUCGUCUUUGGAAAUCAAAAGGAUGAUAAUAAGUCUUCUCCGACACAUCAAGAAGACACCAUAUUUAGGAAGCCUGCCUAUUGAUGUCUGUCAACUUAAUUUUGGGCAGUAUCCUAUGGUAGUGCUGACAAAAUCUAGAAGAAAUAAUUCAGCUUGGAAAAUCAGUUCAGUUCUUUAUAAUCAAAUUAAGUCAUUCAGUUCACAUUUCAGAAUCAGUUAAAAAGGUAUACGCAACAGCAUCUCAGUGCAUUUGAGGCAACAAUUUGGACUGACUUUCAGAUUCAGUUCAAAAUUCAUAGUGAUCAAGUCAGCUUUGAAUUAAAUCUCCAAAGUAAAUACUUGCAAAACUCUAAUGAGCAUUUAAGAAUAAAUUUGCAAGACUGUUAAUACUUCAUCCGGUUGUUUGUGAAAGUUAUUGCAGAACUUCAGACAUUAGCAUAAGACAAGGGGGAAACUGUUCAACAUCUAUGGAAUGAUCCAAGCCACUGUUUUUAAGUAAUGUAAUUUAAUUAUAAUAAACAUUUAAAUUAAAUCGCAUUUUUUAUUUGGUCCUACCUUCCUUUUGGAAUGCAGUCUCAAAUGUAAAGUGUCACCUUUGCCUUGAAAAGAACUGAAAACCAAUGUUGUAGAUCAGGGGACUGAUGUAGAAGCCCGAACCGAUUGGCAGAAGUGAAUUCUGCUCAAUGUUAGUUUUAUUGCUUUAUAAAAAGCAGUAAAUUCUAUGGUUCUGGUUACUGUGAGGUGCAAAGGCAUGCACAGAUGCACAUAUGUAAACUGAAAAUAAUCAGGAGUUGCCUUCAGAAUAAAAGCAAUACAGUUUUAUUGCGUGCCUGGGGUAUACUUACUUACAUUUGAUUUCUAGUUUUCAAUUGACCUCAAGAAGGCCAGUGUCAGGCACAGGAAAUCAGGAUCCAGGCAGUUCAAAUGAAUAUACAGGUGUAUUGUACGCUAAAGCUCUCUACAAGAAUCUGAACUACUAACAAUCAGAGCAAAUUGGCAGUAGAUGAGAAUUCAAGGUGGAUGGCACUUAGAUCUCUUGUGGGCCCGAAAGGACUUGAGACUGAUGACGCGUUUGAACCCUCCUACAUCAGGGUCUGCUUGAUCAUAUCCUACAUUUGGACAAGGAUACUCAAAGGGCUGGAUGUGGCCCUAGAGCCGUAAAAUGUCCAGAUUUGCUCUUUAUCAUUGGUUAUGUUCAAAUGGAGGAUUUGAUAGCCAGAUAGGUUUCGGGGAUAUUUUGAUUUAAGUUCACACAUUGAGCAAGGGUUGCCUUGAUGGUGUAAAUGGUCUUUUCAGACCCUAUGAUUUUAUGGAUCCCACUUUGCCUAUUCUUCCUGCAUCUGUGCUUCCUAAUUGCCAUCACACUAACUGGAAAAAUUACAUUGAAGCAGAACAGAACAAAGUUUAUUACAGUGAGUGAUCAGGGCAAGAAAGUUGAAGGAGAGAGAAAUCACCAAAAUAUUGAUGUACAUACGAAUGAAUGGAUCGAUCGAUAGAUUUAAGAUAGUACAAAACUAUAGACAUAAAAUCUUAUAAAACCUAUUGAGCUGAUCUAGUUAAUCAGAUGUAUAAAACUUGUUCUCUAUAAAACCUGCCUAGUUUAUUUUCUCUUUUACCAUUUUUAGUUGAGCGCACAUAGAAGUAAGUCAGGAAAAAAAAUGAAAUGAAAGAAGUAAAUUUAUAACAUGCAAUAUUUGAAAGCAUGGGAAUAUCUUGAUCUGAAACAUAAGAGCAGCCUUUUCCAGCUUGGUUCCUUCCUUUAUAUUUUGAACUUUAAUUUCCUAACCAACAUCACCAUCUUCAGGGAAUGAGAGAACUGUAAUCCCAAAUUAAUAAAUCUGAAAAAAUAAUUGGCAAAUUUCUAUCCAGAUCUUCCGGAAAAGACUAUUGUUUGAAAAGACUUUAGUGGGGCCCAGGCAUUGAUGCGAGAACUUUUACAGUUCUUGGAAGUAGCCCAAAGUAACCAAACAAAUGAAUAUUUCCAUUCAGAAAUGUGUAAGACCUUACUUGUGGGAUUGUUGCUUCAACCCAGGAAAGGAAAGGGAGUUGUUGUAUCUUGCAGAGCAGGCAAGUUAAGAGGUUAGUGGAGUUCUGCUGUGUUGUGUAAAGAUAAACCAUGCCUUGCCCAGCCUGGCAUCUUUCAGAUGAUGUGAGCCUCUAAAGUUCUCCAAAGCCCACUUUGGCAUGGCCUCAAACUAAAAAAAUUACUCUUCCUAUACAUCUAGAGAGUACCAGGUUGGGGAGAACCACACUGCAACGAGUGACACAUAAAAGCUCCUUGCACCUGGUCAAGAGAACGUUUGAGUUUGUGCUUUUGUUUUGUUUUUUGUAUAGUCAGGGCCGGUUCAGACAGUGCUACCUGAGCUGCAAUCAUUGGUAGGAGAGAAAAAUCUCUUCCUUCGGCUAGCCUAGUUUCUCUAUCCCCGUAAAACAUACAGUGUUUUCAGGAAACACUUGUUUCAGGAAACACUUGGAGUUCUGCAGGCGGCUCUAAAAAAAAAAGUCCUGCUGUGGUCUUGCAAGUUUUCAGCACUUGUCACACUACUUGCAACUCUUCCACAAUGCAUUGUGGAACUUGCUACACUGAGUACAUUCUGGCCAUAAAGAAUAAGACAGUGAGCUUGUCAGCUGGAAAGCUGACAAUCCAGGUUCGAGACCCGAGCACUGCAUGACAGAGUGAGCUCCCGUUCCUUGCUCCAGCUUCUGCCCACCUAGCAGAUCGAAAGCAUGCAAAUGCAAGUAGAUAAAUAGGUACCACUUCAGUGGGAAGGUAACAUUAUGUGCCUUGGUGUAUAGUCAUGCUGGCCACAUGACCAUGACAUGGAAAUGUCUCUGGACAAUGCUGGCUCCCUCGGCUAAGAAGCAGAGAUGAGCCCCGCCCCCUAGAAUCAGAAAUGACUGGUCUGAGGAAAAAUUUACUUUUACAUAGAGAAUAGUGUCAAAAUGCUACUCCUGGCUGAAAUCUGGAAGGGGACUGAGCCUUGUCUGGUACCAUUUUUGACAUGUUCUGGUUCUGCUUUUUUUGAUUGAAGCAAAACCUGAUAGCAGCCCUAUUCAAAAAAAAAAACAACCAAAACCCAACAACCCACAUCUUUGGGUAUUAACUUUUGUCUUAAAUCCACAGUUAGUUUUUCAAAUCUGCUAAUUAAAGUCAUUGCACAAUGCAGAGACCCUAAAACAAGAUGGAUCGACCACAUCAAGUAUUGCGGGCCCACUUGGCAAAAGAAAGAUCAGGACCGUAUAUAGGCUGGAAACAUGCAGAAGAGGCCUUCAUCCUGCAGUGGAUAGACAAUGGCUAAAAUGAUGAUGGUGACACAGUGCAUCAUAAAAAUAAUGAAGUCUCCCCAAAGCCCAGCCAUUAGAUUGCACAGAGAUCUUGUGUUUCACUAACCCGUUGCAUACAAAUGUGAUUUGCAUUUCAGAAAGACUUCAAUUCUUUCUCGACUGCUGACAUUAACCUUAUGUAUUUUUAACAUGUUUCUAGUGCUUAUGUUUAAAAACAGGCAAACCAUAUUUCAUCAGAAUAACUAGGGCCUUUAUUAAAUACACUUGAAUUUCCAGUGUCUGUUAUUACCUGGCACUCCUUCUGUUCCUUUAUUGGCAGCUUAAUAGCUGAUUAGUAGAAUACACGUAUAUUUCUGGAACGUUGGCUACUAAAUGUUUGCAGAAUAGGUCACAGAUCAGAUAAUCCAUACAGUAUAGAAAAUGCUAUGCCAUUUCUUAUUAUGCCUGGGAAUAGGUCAGCCUUGAAAGCGUGGAGACCACAUACUCAUAUUGGCCAGGGAGCUCAACCUUUGGCCUCCAAGCUCCCUUGAGUCUCCUGUAGUUGACCAACCAAAUAUUGGGUUGUCCAUCAUUUUGACCUAAAAGGCAUCUGAAAAUUGGUGUGUUGGCCCAGCAUGGUCAUAGCAGAAGAUCCUGGAUCCAACCACAUGAAGGAGAUUGUCCAUUAAUUUGGCAUCAUCACCCCCACGGUAACCCUUGGCCUCCUGAAGAACCAGCUUCUUCAACUCUCAGAUAUUUUCCUAACUUUAGGGUUGUCAGCACCAAGUGAGAAGGUUUAAGGAGAUGGUUUGAAAUGGGGGAACUAAAGUCAGAAGUCCCUUGUCCCUUCUUAGCUGAUUUCCCACUUCCCAGAUGGAAAGAUAGGGACGGAUUCUGUGCUAUUUGAUUCUAGUGGCCCAAUUGACUACUUUUUCAUUCUGUUCUGUUCAGGUUGUUAUACCGUGCCCCUCACCGUGGUAUCUGAGCGUACUUGGGCCCAGAUUUGUUUGAACCGGCCCUGAACAUGUCUCUGAUAUGGAUGAAGGACAGACCUGCAACAGAGCUUACCACUGGGACACUUCUGACUGGAUGCCAAAUGCACGUUUAUCUGACAUUGAGGAGGUGCCCCAUUAUGAGACGGCCGAUGGCAGCUCAGCUCAUCACGGGAGCACACGGGAGCUCGAAACAGAUUACUACCUUGGUGGUUAUGAUAUUGAUAGUGACUACCCUCCACCGCAUGAGGAGGAGUUUUUAAACCAAGACCAAUUGCCCCCUCCCCUCCCAGAGGAUUACCCAGACCAUUAUGAAGCCCUGCCACCAUCCCAGCCAGUCUCCAUGGCCAGCACGCUGAGCCCAGAUUGCCAGAGACGGCCACAGUUUCACCCAAGUCAAUACCUCCCUCCUCACCCCUUCCCCAAUGAGAUGGACCAUGGUGGGUCUCAGACUGGGAACGAAUUUAGUACUUUUGGUGUUGGCCCGGGACCAAAUACAGGCAACAGUCUGGCCAAGAAACCUUUGUCUUUACACAAUUCUCUGGACGCCUCCUCGUCCGAUGUUUCGAUGGGCUGUGGUUUUGAUGACUCUGAGAUUGCCAUGAGCGACUACGAAAGCAUUGAGGACUUUUCUCUGGACCACCAUCAGAUUCACAUUCCUUUUGUGGAGAUCCAUCAGCAGACCCAAGUGUGAAGGAGCUCUUUUCGUGGACUCCGUUGCUGUCGUUUGUUCAUUCAUAGCAUAACUGAACUCUUCUCUUUUGCUUCAUAAGUGUUCGACACGUCUGGUGCAGGGUUGAAAUCCAACCCAACCCAUUCUCAGCCUACCCAGAAGAUCGAUGUUGUGCAUGCACAUUACAGGGUGAAAACUGUAGCUUGUCUCAGAAAAUCAGUACCCAAGGUCAUCCAUCAGUCUUUGGAGUGGGCAUCUACUGCUUAUUGCCAAAAGUAAAUCCUAUUUUAAAUCCCAGACCAGUUAAUCAGUAAAGGAAAGGAUAGUUGGUAAUUUUCCUCCCUAAAAAAACCCUUUCUAAAUCAGUUCAUUCAGAAUUGCUGGUCUAUUAGAUGUAGUAUUUCCACGUUGCCCCAUAUGUUCUCUUGACUACGUUAAUGCACUCGUAAACACAGUAUAAGCCAAUCUUCCUCAGCUUGAUACUUUUCCUAGAGCAGUGGUGGUGAACCUAUGGCACACGUGCCAGAAGUGGCACGCAGAGCCCUCUCUGUGGGCACGCACACCGUCGUCCCAGCCCUGCCUCCCCCCCUCACCAGCAACCCCCCCCAGGGGAGAGUCCCCCCUGGGCGUGGCCCGUGUGGAGCAGCGCAGACAAGGACAUGGUAGCAGAGACAAGACUCCACCCUCGCAUGCAGAUGAUGCUGCGGGACGCGGGUGGAGGGCAUGGCCACCAUGGCGCUGCAGGGCUGCCUGGUCGAUCGGUGGGCCGUGGAGGCAGUAGAUGGCCCUGCAGGCGGGCAGGGCAGUUUUUGGGCACUCAGUAUCUAAAAGAUUCACCAUCACUGUCCUAAAGUAUUAAGCUGCUGUUCCCAUAAUUGCUAAUUGGCAUGUUUCUUGGCCAUUCAGUCUACGAAUAACGGGAGAUGUGAUCCAAGGCACCAAGAGGGCAUCCAAUCAGGAGUGGUUCCAACUCAUGCCUACAGUUCUAACUCUGAAAGAUACCAAGAAUUAAGAGUUGUUUGGCCAUCGUGAUGAACCAAAUGGUAAGGAUUGAGGUGUCUCCUCAGUCUAAAACUUAUGCCACUGAGCCGUUAAUCUUUGCUCUCAUUUAAACAAUGGGGUUUUUAUGUGAAACUUAACACCAAGCUGACCUUGAUUCAAGGCUGAUGCUGCAGCCUUGAGUGGGUCAGGAGUAAAAAAAAAAUGGAAUGGCCCUGGUGGUGGGUGGGUUGUUUGUUUAUUUAUUUAUUUGCUGGGUUCCCUGUCAUCUUCUAAGCUUUGGUUCUUAGGAUACAUCUGCAAUUUUUUUUCACUCGUCUUUAAAUACCAUUUAAAUACCAUUUAUCCUAUAUUUGGUAACGGCUAGUGGAGUAAAAUCCGCAGGGACUCAAUUUAUCUUUACCUUUAAAUACUGUUUAAAGAGAGUGCUAUUGUAGGUUAUGACACCGUCGCCAUCAUGUAUUUCACGGGUGGAAAAAAAAAAAGAAACCCCGACCAGAUUAUCCUUUUUGCACGAUUGAAUACUUUUGAAUACACAUUCCUCGUGUAACUGGAAUUCAAGCUUCCAUCUUGUGUGGAUGCAAAACACAAAAGAAGAUGACAGGAGAAUUCAGCCGAGCAGCCACUGAAAGGAACAAAUAAAUUAUUCCUGGUGGAAGGGAAUUACGGUUUUUAUGGAUGUCCCUGCAGGUCUUUGGUGGGAUUGUCUGCGAGGGGAAGUGGGUCAGAAAAAGUAAAGAUGGUGACUGCAACCAUGUAACUUAAGGCUCAUUCAUUUUUCAUGUGUGUUACACAUCUGACACACAAAGAUGUAGCUUUGAUCACAUCCUAGCAGGUUGCCUUCUUGGCUUUUGCAAACCACACACCCCCUUUGCAAACAUCCGUUUCUCCUAACCCAGGGGUCAGCAACCUUGGCUCUUUUAUGACUCGUGGACUUCAACUAUGCUGGCUCAGGAAUUCUGGGAGUUGAAGUCCACGAGUCAUAAAAGAGCCAAGGUUGCCUACCCCUGUCCUAACCCUAUUUUGUUUUAUGAUCAGCACAAUGUUGAAUGAGUGCUUCCACCCAAACUGAGACAGAUUUUCUAAAAAUUCUUUACACCGAGUGACAAAUUUUGUUUUUUACCCAGCUUGAUAAAUCAAAUAUGUCUGGUGUCCUCACACUAAUCAGCACUUAUUUCAGCCUCAGAGAACACCAGUUAAUAAAUCAUAUCAAGCCAAGUGGUUCGUUAAAGUGCCAUGGAAUAAGCAGCUUUAUUUACAAAGGUUAUCUGUCUAUUACCUUGGAAAUUGAAUGAUCUGUUGAUUACUACGACUCCCGUUUCAGGCUACAAGAGUAUUGUAACUAAGGGUUAUAUCGUAAGAAAUGGUCUAGUUCUAAAAACCUGUUUUAAAAAAAAAUUUUUUUUUGAGCCGAGACAAUACACUGCCUGUAUGAAUAUUCUGAAUAGUACAAAUUUAAUGUGUGCUUCCUUUUCAGUGAUUUUAUUCCCUUGGGCUUCACCCCCAAAUAUGGUAGGCAUUCUUUUAUAGUGCAUUUAUAAAAUGAUGGUUUUUGUUAGCCCUUCUUAGCUUUUUUAUGAACCCGCUUUUGAAAUAUUUUGGGAUAAAGGAAACAUGGUACUUGAACCUUGUGUAUGGUGAGAAUGCUAACGUAUGGAAUUGAGUAAGAAGCUUACUCAACAGAGAAACUAGCUGAUGACGUGGGUUGACCUUUCCAUGACUACGAAUGAGUGUAUGUGUGUGUGUGCAUCUGUGCGCGCACACACACACACACACGUAGACACACAGAAGAGUUGACAUACUCAACAUCUCCAACUGAUCAUGCUCACAGCAUUGAGGUUGCUUUGAAUGGAUACCAAAGUUACACAUUUGAAUUCUGAACUAUUGUUCAGUUGCACUUAUUUGUCCCCACAAGUCACACACACACACACACACACACACACACACACAAAGUUAUUAUGAAGUAAUUCUUCCUGACUUUUAAAAGGAAUUUUCAAAUAAUGCUUCUUUUGGAUAUUAACUACUAUACCUGAACUUAGCAAGAUACCUUUUUCCCCUUACUUUCUAGUAGUCUUCCGUAAAAAAUAAUAAUAUGAAACCUUUUGGUAGUUCAGAGUAAGGGGCAUUUUCCAUUCUCCUGGGUAACUUGCAUGUGUGUUCUAGAAACCCCUAAAUGUUAGGCUUUUCUUGUCCUGCCAAAUCCUAUGCAGUCAUCACUUUCUUCUUAUUCCUUAUCCCGCCUCUUUUAGCAGCUGGCUGCUCACUGCCCCAUUGAAUCAACGAAGUUGCCCCACUUAUUCUAGAGCAUAAUCUUCAUUGCUAAUCUCAGAAUUAAUUGCCCAUUUAUACAUUCCACUGUAUUUACUUUCAGAUUGUCUUGUAAUCUGCUAUUAAAUUUUAGCUUCACAUGGGUAAAAGCAUCCUAGACAAGUUAGCUAAAUGCAUUGGCCAAACUCCAGAUGUUUGUAAGCUUCCACAGUUCAGCACAAUUGGUAGACACGCACACUUUCUAUGCCAGGGUGGAUUCCCCCCCCCCUUACUUUCUUUUACCAUGAAUCGCCCUGAUUUUUCCGUCUUUAUCCAAAUAGCAACUCAUCUGUCAAUUGGUGUUGAUGACACAGGGUAAAAGAUUAGUAGUAAGUAAGCCGUACGUGAUUAAAUGGGAUUGAAGGCAAUGGAGCUUCAGACAGUCUUGACUCAGCCAGUCUACCCCAUAGAUAAUUACAACACAUUCAAGUGAUUCAAAGUGGGGAAAUUUGUAUUUCUGAUUGCUCCUAUAUACAAACCCGUUCAGCAUAUCAUAAAGUGGGACGGUUUGAAAAGAGCUGUAUGGCCAAUUUUUUCCCAAUAGGAUGCUUUUUGGUGAGUAAAUAUUUGAUUUAAGGUGGAAGAGGUUUCCGAAAAUACCUCCUUCCCACCAGCAAUCAGAAAUGGGACAUUUCAGAACUAUCUGAAUAAUAUGUAGCCGUUGGUGAGUUAAGCAGAUAAGGGGGAAUCAGGAAAUUCAAGAUGGCCACUUCAGUCUCGUAGAUGCAUCCACCAUCUUGAAUUUUCUUGACGCCCCUAUUGUCUACCGGCCCCCUUGUAGCCAUAGACAGCUGCAUUGCUUUGGUACGACUCAGGUUUUGUUCUAUGCAAAAGGGCCUUUAUUCCUCCUAUUACCCAAGAUGGCAGUCUGAACUUCACAGAAAUAAGUGUUUUCCUAAAAAUAAUAAUAAUUCCAAAUUAUAAAGCUACAUCUCAAGCCAAAAGGUCCACACUCAGCAUUUUCUCUUUGUUUCCCCUAUUUACAAGAUGGUAAGAAUGUCUAUAUGCUAUCAUGUGAGCCAUAUCACACUUGAAGUAGUACUGCUCAGAGGCAGUAUUUAUUAGUUAUGUAAAUACUUGGUGCCCAGGUAGGGCCAGUCAUCCCAACUGCACACAAAACGAAGAAAACUGAGACUUCCACAUGCCAAUGUUGAUAGCAAAACGAUUUAAUAUUAAUUUACUGCUUUUAUUAGAGGGUCUUUCACAAACUAAAGGUAAAUAAUUUCAAUAUUGUCACAGAGAAACAGAAAUCUUUCCAAAAUUUUGAUGGGCCAUUUUAGCUGAACUGCAUCUUCCAAAUUCAUUCCAUAUAAUUGGGAGUGGAGAAAGAUUUGUUCAUGAUUAUGCAAAAAAAUGGAUUUUGGCCGUCUUCUUUCUUUGCUUAUUACAUCCCUCCAGUAGUAAAAUCCAUAGUAAGUUUUUCCAUGAAAGAUCAUUAUUUCAAGGCUAUGCAUCAUAUAGAAGAGCACUGAACUUUUUUUUUCAUUUAGAGAGAAAAGGAGAGGCAGUGGGAUGUAACUUCGUUUCAUCUUUUUUUUUUUAAAGAGCAAUAAUUUACAAAUGUAUUACAGGCCAUAACCAAACUUCACUACUGGCAGUGUUAAGAGAAUAAAUGAACUGGAUUGUGGGAAUUCAAGGCCUCACUUAACAUAGCUUAAGCAUAUGUUUGAAUUCUUACCAGAACAAUUUUUCAAACCCAGGAUAACUGCUUUUUCAGGAAGUUUAUUUGGGAAAAAAAAAUCUUAAGUUCUCCUUGAAGCACUGUAUAAGAAAGAUAAUUGUGUGUAAAUUUUACCUGUUGCAAGCAGGCUGGUUUGUAAAAGAUGUAUGUUUUUGGUGUUAAAAAGUUUAUAAAAUAAUGUAUAUAAUAAUUUUGAAAUUACUGGGCUUUUGUAGAUAUUCAAUGCCAAUCAGGUGGCUUUUCAUUUUUGUUACCUGUGUUCAUUUGUGUAAAGUCAUCCGUUACAGGUUAAUCAUAUAAAGUACUUCUUACAAAACAAAUCAAAAAUUCUUCUUAGUUGCUAAAGGAGACUUCAGUUUUCAUUUGGAUCAAUUGUUUUCCGUUCACUUCUGUUUCUAUGAAACUGCUUCCUGGUUGUUUUUUUAUGGGUUUUUUUGUUUUGUUUUGUUUGUUUGUCUGUGCAAAUGCAAUCAUGUUUUCUAAUGACAUUUCUGUUGGCAUUAAAAAGGUUUCUCCAUUAUUUCACCCUGUAACAAACGUAUGCAAAAGGGAAGAUGAUCUCCGGAAAUGGAUCUUGUCCCUUGUUGCCUAACUCAUCAGUUGUUCAUUUUCCUGUUGGCAGUAUUGUCUUGUUAUUUUGCUAUUAAAAAAGAAACAAAAAAGAAACAAAAAA
Crotalus tigris (Tiger rattlesnake) is the source of this 11045-nucleotide long non-coding RNA. RefSeq lists it as uncharacterized. Lineage: Eukaryota; Metazoa; Chordata; Lepidosauria; Squamata; Viperidae. The transcript has 3 exons. The record is from RefSeq and is a predicted model, not a curated record.